This 1332-nucleotide ribosomal RNA is filed under the name uncultured bacterium. Its description in RNAcentral is "bacterial SSU rRNA". It matches the Rfam family "Bacterial small subunit ribosomal RNA", at positions 28 to 1381 of the family's 1533-position model. The record is from RNAcentral.
GACGAACGCUGGCGGCGCGCCUAACACAUGCAAGUCGAACGAGAGACGAGGAGCUUGCUCUUCAAAUCGAGUGGCGAACGGGUGAGUAACGCGUGAGGAACCUGCCUCAAAGAGGGGGACAACAGUUGGAAACGACUGCUAAUACCGCAUAAGCCCACGGCUCGGCAUCGAGCAGAGGGAAAAGGAGCAAUCCGCUUUGAGAUGGCCUCGCGUCCGAUUAGCUAGUUGGUGAGGUAACGGCCCACCAAGGCGACGAUCGGUAGCCGGACUGAGAGGUUGAACGGCCACAUUGGGACUGAGACACGGCCCAGACUCCUACGGGAGGCAGCAGUGGGGAAUAUUGCACAAUGGGGGAAACCCUGAUGCAGCGACGCCGCGUGGAGGAAGAAGGUCUUCGGAUUGUAAACUCCUGUUGUUGAGGAAGAUAAUGACGGUACUCAACAAGGAAGUGACGGCUAACUACGUGCCAGCAGCCGCGGUAAAACGUAGGUCACAAGCGUUGUCCGGAAUUACUGGGUGUAAAGGGAGCGCAGGCGGGAGAACAAGUUGGAAGUGAAAUCCAUGGGCUCAACCCAUGAACUGCUUUCAAAACUGUUUUUCUUGAGUAGUGCAGAGGUAGGCGGAAUUCCCGGUGUAGCGGUGGAAUGCGUAGAUAUCGGGAGGAACACCAGUGGCGAAGGCGGCCUACUGGGCACCAACUGACGCUGAGGCUCGAAAGUGUGGGUAGCAAACAGGAUUAGAUACCCUGGUAGUCCACACCGUAAACGAUGAUUACUAGGUGUUGGAGGAUUGACCCCUUCAGUGCCGCAGUUAACACAAUAAGUAAUCCACCUGGGGAGUACGACCGCAAGGUUGAAACUCAAAGGAAUUGACGGGGGCCCGCACAAGCAGUGGAGUAUGUGGUUUAAUUCGACGCAACGCGAAGAACCUUACCAAGUCUUGACAUCCCUUGACGAACAUAGAAAUAUGUUUUCUCUUCGGAGCAAGGAGACAGGUGGUGCAUGGUUGUCGUCAGCUCGUGUCGUGAGAUGUUGGGUUAAGUCCCGCAACGAGCGCAACCCUUAUGGUCAGUUACUACGCAAGAGGACUCUGGCCAGACUGCCGUUGACAAAACGGAGGAAGGUGGGGAUGACGUCAAAUCAUCAUGCCCUUUAUGACUUGGGCUACACACGUACUACAAUGGCGUUAAACAAAGAGAAGCAAGACCGCGAGGUGGAGCAAAACUCAGAAACAACGUCCCAGCUCGGACUGCAGGCUGCAACUCGCCUGCACGAAGUCGGAAUUGCUAGUAAUCGUGGAUCAGCAUGCCACGGUGAAUACGUUCCCGGGCCU